GAGUUUGAUCGUGGCUCAGAACGAACGCUGGCGGCAUGCCUAACACAUGCAAGUCGAACGAACUCUUCGGAGUUAGUGGCGCACGGGUGCGUAACGCGUGGGAAUCUGCCCUUGGGUACGGAAUAACUCAGAGAAAUUUGUGCUAAUACCGUAUAAUGACUUCGGUCCAAAGAUUUAUCGCCCAAGGAUGAGCCCGCGUAAGAUUAGCUAGUUGGUGGGGUAAAGGCCUACCAAGGCUACGAUCUUUAGCUGGUCUGAGAGGAUGAUCAGCCACACUGGGACUGAGACACGGCCCAGACUCCUACGGGAGGCAGCAGUGGGGAAUAUUGGACAAUGGGCGAAAGCCUGAUCCAGCAAUGCCGCGUGAGUGAUGAAGGCCUUAGGGUUGUAAAGCUCUUUUACCCGGGAUGAUAAUGACAGUACCGGGAGAAUAAGCUCCGGCUAACUCCGUGCCAGCCGCCGCAGUAAU
This 469-nucleotide ribosomal RNA is filed under the name uncultured microorganism. Its description in RNAcentral is "bacterial SSU rRNA". It matches the Rfam family "Bacterial small subunit ribosomal RNA", at positions 9 to 524 of the family's 1533-position model. The record is from RNAcentral.